AACGCACAUUGCGCCCCCUGGCAUUCCGGGGGGCAUGCCUGUCCGAGCGUCAUUUCUGCCCUCAAGCACGGCUUGUGUGUUGGGUGUGGUCCCCCCGGGGGCCUGCCCGAAAGGCAGCGGCGACGUCCGUCUGGUCCUCGAGCGUAUGGGGCUUUGUCACUCGCUCGGGAAGGACCUGCGGGGGUUGGUCACCACCAUAUUUUUUUUACCACGGUUGACCUCGGAUCAGGUAGGAGUUACCCGCUGAACUUAA
This 253-nucleotide unclassified non-coding RNA is filed under the name uncultured Talaromyces. RNAcentral describes it as "sequence contains ITS2". Lineage: Eukaryota; Fungi; Ascomycota; Eurotiomycetes; Eurotiales; Trichocomaceae. The record is from RNAcentral.